UUCAGAUUUUCAAAUUUUCGUUCUCACACGGGACGCACGUGUUUACCUCUAUCUCACCUAUGACCAGCCCCAAUUAAGGGGACUAUUUAUAGACACAGCACAUUGAUAUUCCCCGUACUGGUGCCACCUAACUACCAGGGACACACAGAGCUAUACCCUGUUGUGGAUUAUCAAGGUAAGACAGCACUAUCAGAUUCACAUGCUGUGGCAAUUGUUUUUGCUAUAAGACAUGGAACCUUUCUAUAUAUUAUUCCUUAAUUAAUACCUUACCUCAAUUUAUAUCUUUAUAUCUAUAGGACUUCAUUGCCAAUUUCUGUUACCCUUUCCAUGCAUAUGGAUUGAAGCUGCCCAGUUUGGCAAUCGUCGAGGCAGAUCUACCCAUCUGCUUAGCCGCGCUCGGCUCACUACUUUUUGUAUAGAUCCCACUGUGUGAAUACAUCCAUGGAUUAGGCAUUUUGUUUAUUGCUUACCAGCAAUUAACUGCCAUACCACUUUAUGCAAUCUUAUUUUUCAUUUUAUGAUAUUACUCCCCUAAUUGGUUGAAGCAAUAUUCACUUGUGGAUUACAACCAACAUUAGGCUAAUACAAGACCGCUCGUUGAUUAUCACAAACGCGAUAUAUUUUCUGUAAGUCUUAUAUAGAUUUGUUUAAAGCUCAUUGCUAGUGAUAGAUACGCUAUUACCAAUCCUGCAUACUGUAUUAUAUAUACUCUCCAUUAUGAGAAUCUUUCCAUCACAGAUCAGGGUUUUUCAUUAUUCAUUUUUCUUUCUUUUUUCUUUUCUCUUUCUUGUUUUCUUUCUUUUUCUAUGGGUUCCUCUUUCCCCUCUCCCCUUUUGGUUAGCUGUUUGGCUUGCUGUCCUGUUGCCUUGUCACAUAUUGGCGCACUAAGACAAACUCUACAACAAUUAUCGUUUCAUUAUAUAUCCUGCAACCUUUGUUGCAUUCUGUAUAUCUAUGUGUAUUUUUUAUCUAAAAAUGUGUAUUUUGUUUUCUUAAUUUUUGAUGUACAUAUACCUUAAACUGUCAUUGUUUUCUGUAUAUGUCUUAUUAGAAUGAGAUAUCUAUGCUCCUGAAGAAGCGCUAAUCCCAAAGUGCGCAACAUGUCGAGCAAGCCCUCCUGUUCCUCUGGAUAAACCACCUGGUCACUUGUGAUAUAACCCACUCUAUGAUUUUGCUUUGUAUUGUUGAAGCUUUCUAUGUUAGAAUCAUACAAUGAAUGUGAACCUUGUGUGUGGAACCAGUUAUUCAUUUAAUUUCAUUUGUUGAUUUUAUAUCUAUAACUGUUUUUAUGAUAUUUCUAUAUCAAUAAUAAAAAACAUUUCUAGUUUUCCAUACCACUUGUAUCGUGUGCCUUUAAAGCCCAACCUACUAGUUCUUAGUCCAAUUCCACAUUAUCGGGGCGUUGGCACACUUACCACUGGUGCAUCCGUAGUAUCACCCUACGAUUGAUGUACAUUAAAUUAGGCCUGUAUCUUCUCACCUCUCUCUUCCUCAUCCAGGUGCCAUAUGUAUUUCUUCAUUAUAUGUCCGUAAUGAAUUUUUUUUUGUGCUUUACUUAUGUGGCUUUGUAAAGUGUGGACCAGCUUUAUACUACAUUGCUUGUACCAAUUGUAUACUUGGCCAUACAACUUUUGCUAAUAACUGUUAUUGUAACAUGUCUUUAUGUUUCAAUAAAAUAAAUCCCUGCUUGUAAAAUAA
Molecule: long non-coding RNA, 1698 nt
Organism: Rana temporaria (common frog)
Lineage: Eukaryota; Metazoa; Chordata; Amphibia; Anura; Ranidae
Exons: 2
Source: RefSeq, a predicted model, not a curated record